AUUAAUGUCAUUGAUCUAAUUCAUGAAAAACAAUUUGUGGAUAGAACCACACAUAGACACAUAUUACAAACAUUUAUGUAGGUGCAUGCUCGUGGUUGAUAAUCCAAGAGUUAGACAAUGACCUUUUUGCUUUCUAGAUUAAAAAAAAAAAAACAUCAAAUGGGUAAUGUCAUGUUACUAUGAUCAGUUGAUCUUACCCAUCAUGGGGAAAAAUAAUGGAACUUCUUCAAAAGCAAUCAUCUUUCUCCAUUACAAUUGUGGGAUCAAAUGAAAAAAUUUCAAGAAAAGAAGUAUUUAUGCCCAUUGUUUUCGUUUUUCCAAAUUGAACUACCAGUUCACCAUAUUAUAGCUUUUUUUCGUUAUAAUUGCCUAGCUAUGAGUUAUAUCAUUCAUAGACUUGUUGUUGCAGUACACACCAAAGUAAAUUUGAUAAAGCUUGUUUAUGUAAAGCUUUAUUGACACAAAAAAAAAGAAAAACAAAAAACAAA
This 488-nucleotide long non-coding RNA is filed under the name Capsella rubella. RNAcentral describes it as "long non-coding RNA (CRUB_LNC004874)". The record is from RNAcentral. Lineage: Eukaryota; Viridiplantae; Streptophyta; Magnoliopsida; Brassicales; Brassicaceae.